GCCUAACACAUGCAAGUCGAGCGGAAACGACACUAACAAUCCUUCGGGUGCGUUAAUGGGCGUCGAGCGGCGGACGGGUGAGUAAUGCCUAGGAAAUUGCCUUGAUGUGGGGGAUAACCAUUGGAAACGAUGGCUAAUACCGCAUAAUGCCUACGGGCCAAAGAGGGGGAUCUUCGGACCUCUCGCGUCAAGAUAUGCCUAGGUGGGAUUAGCUAGUUGGUGAGGUAAUGGCUCACCAAGGCGACGAUCCCUAGCUGGUCUGAGAGGAUGAUCAGCCACACUGGAACUGAGACACGGUCCAGACUCCUACGGGAGGCAGCAGUGGGGAAUAUUGCACAAUGGGCGAAAGCCUGAUGCAGCCAUGCCGCGUGUAUGAAGAAGGCCUUCGGGUUGUAAAGUACUUUCAGUUGUGAGGAAGGGGGUAGCGUUAAUAGCGCUGCCUCCUGACGUUAGCAACAGAAGAAGCACC
RNAcentral lists this ribosomal RNA (469 nucleotides) under uncultured Gammaproteobacteria bacterium. RNAcentral's name for it is "bacterial SSU rRNA". It matches the Rfam family "Bacterial small subunit ribosomal RNA", at positions 46 to 494 of the family's 1533-position model. Lineage: Bacteria; Pseudomonadati; Pseudomonadota; Gammaproteobacteria. The record is from RNAcentral.